This 446-nucleotide ribosomal RNA is filed under the name uncultured bacterium. RNAcentral's name for it is "bacterial SSU rRNA". It matches the Rfam family "Bacterial small subunit ribosomal RNA", at positions 355 to 825 of the family's 1533-position model. The record is from RNAcentral.
UGGGGAAUCUUGGACAAUGGGCGCAAGCCUGAUCCAGCCAUGCCGCGUGGAUGAUGAAGGCCUUAGGGUUGUAAAAUCCUUUCGCCGAGGACGAUAAUGACGGUACUCGGAGAAGAAGCUCCGGCUAACUUCGUGCCAGCAGCCGCGGUAAUACGAAGGGGGCUAGCGUUGUUCGGAUUUACUGGGCGUAAAGCGCGUGUAGGCGGGUCGUUAAGUUGGGGGUGAAAUCCCGAGGCUCAACCUCGGAACUGCCUUCAAAACUGGCGACCUGGACCUAAGUAGAGGCAAGUGGAAUUGCGAGUGUAGAGGUGAAAUUCGUAGAUAUUCGCAGGAACACCAGUGGCGAAGGCGACUUGCUGGACUUAUGGUGACGCUGAGACGCGAAAGCGUGGGAGCAAACAGGAUUAGAUACCCGAGUAGUCCCUGAGCGGGCUGGCAAGGCGCAU